CAAUGUCUUAGGGUUGUGAAAACAAAACAACAAACAAACAAACAAACCCAGAAAAGGCUGCAGUUCCCUUGUCUGUAAUAUGGAGGUUUUGCCUAUCUCAUAAGGUGGUUUUAGAUCUUAUAAUGUCCUUAUUCAGUGUUAAUCUCUGGUUACUCCUGCCUCCAGUCUCAGCAUUCUGUAAGCAAUAUCAAGUGAUGUGGAUCCAUAUCAAGUGAGGUGGAUCUUAUGUGAGCCUGACAGGCUUCCAUCCUCACAGAGCAGUCUAUAAACAUGAAAGUGAUCAAGGUCAGACUGCCUGGUUCAGAGGCUCACCCUGAGAUCUAAACCUUUCUGCCCCCACUGUCCUCAAAUCUAAGUAGGAUUAAAAUGGUAUGCAUGUUAUAAGGGUGCGGUAGGGAUUAAAUAAGAAAAUUAUUUUCACUUGGCACUCAUUGAAUGAAUGGGAUUUAAAAAGCUGCAUUAGGUAAAGCAAUCAAAAGGUGUGUCUAGGGUAGGGCUAUAUCUCGGGCGGGGCUGGGGCUGGGGCAGGCCUGUGUCUAGGGUAUGUGUAGGGUGGGCAUCUCAGGGUUAUGUUUAAUGACUGCUGCUCCAGAAUUCAACACUUCAUCAUUCAGAACCUGGACUAGAGAUUUGUCCUAACUUCCAAAGUGGGCCCAGAAGUGAUGCCAUUAGAAUGUGAAGUCCUCCAAGAAGAUGCUGUAGGAAUGGCCUUUAUCCCAGGGCCUGGAGAGCAGCCAGAGACAAGGAGAGUGGCCCAGGAGGGCAGUGGCAGUCAGCUGUAUGCUGUGGCCUGUCAGCCUCGGAGCCAGAAGUUAAUCACAGGCUCUCCCAUUGACAGUCAUAAUGAAAUAAGAAAAAGAAGACGGGGAAGAGGAAGUAGAAAACCAUGGCAUAAAUUUACCAAGAGUAAGCUGAGUGUGUACUUCAGCAGUCGUUUGCACAGAAUCUUUAUCCUGAUUUAA
RNAcentral lists this long non-coding RNA (962 nucleotides) under Callithrix jacchus (white-tufted-ear marmoset). RNAcentral describes it as "lncRNA (ENSCJAG00000081009.1)". Lineage: Eukaryota; Metazoa; Chordata; Mammalia; Primates; Cebidae. The record is from RNAcentral.